GUUUGUCUAAUAGCGACGGGCUAUGUGCUUUUCACGUGCCGGGGAGAGAACGGCUGCUCGCAAUUCCUGCGAACAUGCUGCAACAGAACAAAACGCAUGAAUCUGAAACACUACCGGCGUCACAGUUAUGAAGUACCACGUGAUAGGCGUCAGAACCCAAGAGCGGUCAAUAUGAAUCAAUCGUUUUCUGUAAGAAAGCCUCCUCCACCUAAAGGUACGUUUGAAAUUUAUGUUUGAUUUUGUAAAAAAAUCAUUUAUUUAUUCGGUGUACUUAGUAAUGUCAUUACUAUCAAUAUUGAUUACUUUUAUGAACAUUUGUCAAUGUGAAGUCAAACAGUAACAACUAAUUUAUGAUUAUUGUAUUCAUUUUCACUUUCAG
Long non-coding RNA from Mya arenaria, 379 nucleotides. RefSeq lists it as uncharacterized. The record is from RefSeq and is a predicted model, not a curated record. The transcript has 3 exons. NCBI's taxonomy places the organism in Eukaryota, Metazoa, Mollusca, Bivalvia, Myida, Myidae.